This 43-nucleotide small RNA is filed under the name Brugia malayi. Its description in RNAcentral is "sRNA Bm15766". The record is from RNAcentral. Lineage: Eukaryota; Metazoa; Nematoda; Chromadorea; Rhabditida; Onchocercidae.
CCAACGGCCCUCUUUAGGGCCACAAUUUAAUGAGUCGUGCUAA